AAUCCGGUUGAUCCUGCCGGCGGGCACCGCUAUUGGAGUUCGCUUAAGCCAUGCGAGUCGAGAGGGGUAAGCCCUCGGCGCACUGCUCAGUAACACGCGGACAAUCUGCCCUCGAGACGGGGAUAAUCCCGGGAAACUGGGGAUAAUACCCGAUAGGUCUGGGAUGAUGGAAGGCUCCCUGGCCAAAAUCUUCCGGGGCUCGAGGAUGGGUCUGCGGCCUAUCAGGUCGUAGGGGGUUUUACGGACCCCCUAGCCGAAGACGGGUACGGGCUUUGGGAGAAGUCGCCCGGAGAUGGAUUCUGAGACACGAAUCC
This 314-nucleotide ribosomal RNA is filed under the name mine drainage metagenome. RNAcentral's name for it is "bacterial SSU rRNA". It matches the Rfam family "Archaeal small subunit ribosomal RNA", at positions 1 to 317 of the family's 1478-position model. The record is from RNAcentral.